AAGCUCGUAGUUGAAUUUCGGGAUCUUACGCUGGUCGUGCCUUCGGUAUGCACUGGUUUCACUGAUUCCUCCCUUCUGAAGAACCGUAAUGCCAUUCAGUUGGUGUGGCGGGGAAUCAGGAUUGUUACUUUCAAAAAAUUAGAGUGUUUAAAGCAGGCUCGCGCUUGAAUACAUUAGCAUGGAAUAAUGAAAUAGGACGUUUGAUCCUAUUUUGUUGGUUUCUAGGAUUGACGUAAUGAUUAAUAGGGAUAGUUGGGGCAUUAGUAUUCAAUUGUCAGAGGUGAAAUUCUUGGAUUUAUUGAAGACUAACUACUGCGAAAGCAUUUGCCAAGGAUGUUUUCAUUAAUCAAGAACGAAAGUUAGGGGAUCGAAGACGAUCAGAUACCGUCGUAGUCUUAACCAUAAACUAUGCCGACUAGGGAUCGGAUGAUGUUAAUUUUUUAAUGACUCAUUCGGCGCCUUACGGGAAACCAAAGUGUUUGGGUUCCGGGGGGAGUAUGGUCGCAAGGCUGAAACUUAAAGGAAUUGACGGAAGGGCACCACCAGGGGUGGAGCCUGCGGCUUAAUUUGACUCAACACGGGGAAA
RNAcentral lists this ribosomal RNA (586 nucleotides) under uncultured Glomus. Its description in RNAcentral is "SSU rRNA". It matches the Rfam family "Eukaryotic small subunit ribosomal RNA", at positions 624 to 1213 of the family's 1831-position model. The record is from RNAcentral. Lineage: Eukaryota; Fungi; Glomeromycota; Glomeromycetes; Glomerales; Glomeraceae.